RNAcentral lists this ribosomal RNA (451 nucleotides) under uncultured bacterium. RNAcentral describes it as "partial 16S ribosomal RNA". It matches the Rfam family "Bacterial small subunit ribosomal RNA", at positions 28 to 523 of the family's 1533-position model. The record is from RNAcentral.
GAUGAACGCUGGCGGCGUGCCUAAUACAUGCAAGUCGAACGAGGUCUUCGGACCUAGUGACGAACGGGUGAGUAACACGUUGGUACCUACCCCGAAGUGGGGAAUAACUGCCCGAAAGGGUGGCCAAUACCGCAUAAUACCGCAAGGUUAAAGCAGUAAUGCGCUUCGGGAGGGGCCUGCGUCCCAUUAGCUAGUUGGUAGGGUGAUGGCCUACCAAGGCGACGAUGGGUAGCUGGAUCGAGAGGUUGACCAGCCACACUGGGACUGAGAUACGGCCCAGACUCCUACGGGAGGCAGCAGUAAGGAAUCUUCCACAAUGGACGAAAGUCUGAUGGAGCAACGCCGCGUGCAGGAUGACGGCCUUCGGGUUGUAAACUGCUUUUAUACGGGAAGAUUAUGACGGUACCGUAUGAAUAAGGACCGGCUAACUACGUGCCAGCAGCCGCGGUAA